RNAcentral lists this RNase P RNA (239 nucleotides) under Salmonella enterica. RNAcentral's name for it is "partial RNase P RNA component class A". It matches the Rfam family "Bacterial RNase P class A", at positions 123 to 367 of the family's 367-position model. Rfam says of the family: Ribonuclease P (RNase P) is a ubiquitous endoribonuclease, found in archaea, bacteria and eukarya as well as chloroplasts and mitochondria. The record is from RNAcentral. Lineage: Bacteria; Pseudomonadati; Pseudomonadota; Gammaproteobacteria; Enterobacterales; Enterobacteriaceae.
AAACCGCCGAUGGCCCACGCAAGUGGGAUCAGGUAAGGGUGAAAGGGUGCGGUAAGAGCGCACCGCGCGGCUGGUAACAGUCCGUGGCACGGUAAACUCCACCCGGAGCAAGGCCAAAUAGGGGUUCAUAAGGUACGGCCCGUACUGAACCCGGGUAGGCUGCUUGAGCCAGUGAGCGAUUGCUGGCCUAGAUGAAUGACUGUCCACGACAGAACCCGGCUUAUCGGUCAGUUUCACCU